RNAcentral lists this ribosomal RNA (1477 nucleotides) under Limosilactobacillus reuteri. RNAcentral's name for it is "Lactobacillus reuteri 16S ribosomal RNA". It matches the Rfam family "Bacterial small subunit ribosomal RNA". The record is from RNAcentral. Lineage: Bacteria; Bacillati; Bacillota; Bacilli; Lactobacillales; Lactobacillaceae.
CAUGCAAGUCGUACGCACUGGCCCAACUGAUUGAUGGUGCUUGCACCUGAUUGACGAUGGAUCACCAGUGAGUGGCGGACGGGUGAGUAACACGUAGGUAACCUGCCCCGGAGCGGGGGAUAACAUUUGGAAACAGAUGCUAAUACCGCAUAACAACAAAAGCCACAUGGCUUUUGUUUGAAAGAUGGCUUUGGCUAUCACUCCGGGAUGGACCUGCGGUGCAUUAGCUAGUUGGUAAGGUAACGGCUUACCAAGGCGAUGAUGCAUAGCCGAGUUGAGAGACUGAUCGGCCACAAUGGAACUGAGACACGGUCCAUACUCCUACGGGAGGCAGCAGUAGGGAAUCUUCCACAAUGGGCGCAAGCCUGAUGGAGCAACACCGCGUGAGUGAAGAAGGGUUUCGGCUCGUAAAGCUCUGUUGUUGGAGAAGAACGUGCGUGAGAGUAACUGUUCACGCAGUGACGGUAUCCAACCAGAAAGUCACGGCUAACUACGUGCCAGCAGCCGCGGUAAUACGUAGGUGGCAAGCGUUAUCCGGAUUUAUUGGGCGUAAAGCGAGCGCAGGCGGUUGCUUAGGUCUGAUGUGAAAGCCUUCGGCUUAACCGAAGAAGUGCAUCGGAAACCGGGCGACUUGAGUGCAGAAGAGGACAGUGGAACUCCAUGUGUAGCGGUGGAAUGCGUAGAUAUAUGGAAGAACACCAGUGGCGAAGGCGGCUGUCUGGUCUGCAACUGACGCUGAGGCUCGAAAGCAUGGGUAGCGAACAGGAUUAGAUACCCUGGUAGUCCAUGCCGUAAACGAUGAGUGCUAGGUGUUGGAGGGUUUCCGCCCUUCAGUGCCGGAGCUAACGCAUUAAGCACUCCGCCUGGGGAGUACGACCGCAAGGUUGAAACUCAAAGGAAUUGACGGGGGCCCGCACAAGCGGUGGAGCAUGUGGUUUAAUUCGAAGCUACGCGAAGAACCUUACCAGGUCUUGACAUCUUGCGCUAACCUUAGAGAUAAGGCGUUCCCUUCGGGGACGCAAUGACAGGUGGUGCAUGGUCGUCGUCAGCUCGUGUCGUGAGAUGUUGGGUUAAGUCCCGCAACGAGCGCAACCCUUGUUACUAGUUGCCAGCAUUAAGUUGGGCACUCUAGUGAGACUGCCGGUGACAAACCGGAGGAAGGUGGGGACGACGUCAGAUCAUCAUGCCCCUUAUGACCUGGGCUACACACGUGCUACAAUGGACGGUACAACGAGUCGCAAGCUCGCGAGAGUAAGCUAAUCUCUUAAAGCCGUUCUCAGUUCGGACUGUAGGCUGCAACUCGCCUACACGAAGUCGGAAUCGCUAGUAAUCGCGGAUCAGCAUGCCGCGGUGAAUACGUUCCCGGGCCUUGUACACACCGCCCGUCACACCAUGGGAGUUUGUAACGCCCAAAGUCGGUGGCCUAACCUUUAUGGAGGGAGCCGCCUAAGGCGGGACAGAUGACUGGGGUGAAGUC